RNAcentral lists this ribosomal RNA (1462 nucleotides) under uncultured organism. Its description in RNAcentral is "SSU rRNA". It matches the Rfam family "Bacterial small subunit ribosomal RNA". The record is from RNAcentral.
UUGACGAACGCUGGCGGCGUGCCUAAUACAUGCAAGUAGAACGCUGAAGAGAGGAGCUUGCUCUUCUUGGAUGAGUUGCGAACGGGUGAGUAACGCGUAGGUAACCUGCCUUGUAGCGGGGGAUAACUAUUGGAAACGAUAGCUAAUACCGCAUAACAAUGGAUGACACAUGUCAUUUAUUUGAAAGGGGCAAAUGCUCCACUACAAGAUGGACCUGCGUUGUAUUAGCUAGUAGGUGAGGUAACGGCUCACCUAGGCGACGAUACAUAGCCGACCUGAGAGGGUGAUCGGCCACACUGGGACUGAGACACGGCCCAGACUCCUACGGGAGGCAGCAGUAGGGAAUCUUCGGCAAUGGGGGCAACCCUGACCGAGCAACGCCGCGUGAGUGAAGAAGGUUUUCGGAUCGUAAAGCUCUGUUGUAAGUCAAGAACGAGUGUGAGAGUGGAAAGUUCACACUGUGACGGUAGCUUACCAGAAAGGGACGGCUAACUACGUGCCAGCAGCCGCGGUAAUACGUAGGUCCCGAGCGUUGUCCGGAUUUAUUGGGCGUAAAGCGAGCGCAGGCGGUUUGAUAAGUCUGAAGUUAAAGGCUGUGGCUCAACCAUAGUUCGCUUUGGAAACUGUCAAACUUGAGUGCAGAAGGGGAGAGUGGAAUUCCAUGUGUAGCGGUGAAAUGCGUAGAUAUAUGGAGGAACACCGGUGGCGAAAGCGGCUCUCUGGUCUGUAACUGACGCUGAGGCUCGAAAGCGUGGGGAGCGAACAGGAUUAGAUACCCUGGUAGUCCACGCCGUAAACGAUGAGUGCUAGGUGUUGGAUCCUUUCCGGGAUUCAGUGCCGCAGCUAACGCAUUAAGCACUCCGCCUGGGGAGUACGACCGCAAGGUUGAAACUCAAAGGAAUUGACGGGGGCCCGCACAAGCGGUGGAGCAUGUGGUUUAAUUCGAAGCAACGCGAAGAACCUUACCAGGUCUUGACAUCCCGAUGCUAUUUCUAGAGAUAGAAAGUUACUUCGGUACAUCGGUGACAGGUGGUGCAUGGUUGUCGUCAGCUCGUGUCGUGAGAUGUUGGGUUAAGUCCCGCAACGAGCGCAACCCCUAUUGUUAGUUGCCAUCAUUCAGUUGGGCACUCUAGCGAGACUGCCGGUAAUAAACCGGAGGAAGGUGGGGAUGACGUCAAAUCAUCAUGCCCCUUAUGACCUGGGCUACACACGUGCUACAAUGGUUGGUACAACGAGUUGCGAGUCGGUGACGGCAAGCUAAUCUCUUAAAGCCAAUCUCAGUUCGGAUUGUAGGCUGCAACUCGCCUACAUGAAGUCGGAAUCGCUAGUAAUCGCGGAUCAGCACGCCGCGGUGAAUACGUUCCCGGGCCUUGUACACACCGCCCGUCACACCACGAGAGUUUGUAACACCCGAAGUCGGUGAGGUAACCUUUUGGAGCCAGCCGCCUAAGGUGGGAUAGAU